RNAcentral lists this ribosomal RNA (449 nucleotides) under Pylaemenes coronatus. RNAcentral's name for it is "partial 16S ribosomal RNA". It matches the Rfam family "Bacterial large subunit ribosomal RNA", at positions 1859 to 2567 of the family's 2925-position model. The record is from RNAcentral. Lineage: Eukaryota; Metazoa; Arthropoda; Insecta; Phasmatodea; Heteropterygidae.
CUGCCCAAUGAUAUAUUUAAAUGGCCGCGGUAUUUUGACCGUGCAAAGGUAGCAUAAUCAUUAGUCUAUUAAUUGUGGACUUGUAUGAAUGGUUUGACGAAGUAUUAACUGUCUCUUUUAUAAUAUUAUAAUUUAAAUUUUUAGUUAAAAUGCUGAAAUUUUUUUAUGGGACGAGAAGACCCUAUAGAUCUUUAUAUAUGUAUAUAUUUAUUAUUUUUAGUUUAUUUUUUGUUAAUUAUUUUGUAUGUUUUGUUGGGGUGAUAUUGAGAUAUAUUUAACUCUUGAUUUUUUUUUUACAUUGAUUUUUGAUUUUUUGACCUUUUAUUAUUGUUAUAAGAUAUAGAUACCUUAGGGAUAACAGCGUAAUUUUUCUUGAGAGUUCAUAUUGACAGAAUAAGUUUGCGACCUCGAUGUUGGAUUAAGAUUAUUAUUAGGUGUAGGUGCUUAAU